UUACAUAGUGAGGCUACCGAACGUUGGAAACAGCGGUUAGGAGCUUACACCCACCCGUGUUUACAUACUAUUGUUGCUUUGGCGGGCCGUGGCCUCCACUGCGGGCUCUGCUCGUGUGUGCCCGCCAGAGAACCAAACUCUGAAUGUUAGUGAUGUCUGAGUACUAUCUAAUAGUUAAAACUUUCAACAACGGAUCUCUUGGUUCUGGCAUCGAUGAAGAACGCAGCGAAAUGCGAUAAGUAAUGUGAAUUGCAGAAUUCAGUGAAUCAUCGAAUCUUUGAACGCACAUUGCGCCCUGUGGUAUUCCGCAGGGCAUGCCUGUUCGAGCGUCAUUUAACCACUCACGCCUAGCGUGGUAUUGGGGCACGCGGUCUCCGCGGCCCUCAAAAUUAGUGGCGGCGCCGGUGGGCUCUAAGCGUAGUACAUACUCCCGCUAUGGAGUUCCCCCCGGUGGCUUGCCAGAACCCCCAAUUUUUACAGGUUGACCUCGGAUCAAGGAGGGAUACCCGCU
This 511-nucleotide ribosomal RNA is filed under the name Phialocephala fortinii. RNAcentral describes it as "eukaryotic LSU rRNA". The stretch from base 179 to 332 matches the Rfam family "5.8S ribosomal RNA". The record is from RNAcentral. Lineage: Eukaryota; Fungi; Ascomycota; Leotiomycetes; Helotiales; Mollisiaceae.